AACGAACGCUGGCGGCAGGCUUAACACAUGCAAGUCGAACGGUUGUAGCAAUACAGCAGUGGCAGACGGGUGAGUAACACGUGGGAACCUUCCUAGGGGGUACGGAACAACUCAGGGAAACUUGAGCUAAUACCGUAUACGUCCGUGAGGAGAAAGAUUUAUCGCCCUUAGACGGGCCCGCGUCGGAUUAGCUAGUUGGUGGGUAACGGCCUACCAAGGCGACGAUCCGUAGCUGAUCUUAGAGGAUGAUCAGCCACACUGGGACUGAGACACGGCCCAGACUCCUACGGGAGGCAGCAGUGGGGAAUCUUGGACAAUGGGCGCAAGCCUGAUCCAGCCAUGCCGCGUGAGUGAAGAAGGUCUUCGGAUUGUAAAGCUCUUUGCCAGGGACGAUAAUGACGGUACCUGGAGAAUAAGCCCCGGCAAACUUCGUGCCAGCAGCCGCGGUAAU
RNAcentral lists this ribosomal RNA (451 nucleotides) under uncultured bacterium. RNAcentral describes it as "bacterial SSU rRNA". It matches the Rfam family "Bacterial small subunit ribosomal RNA", at positions 29 to 524 of the family's 1533-position model. The record is from RNAcentral.